Molecule: ribosomal RNA, 347 nt
Filed under: uncultured bacterium
Lineage: Bacteria
Description: partial 16S ribosomal RNA
Rfam family: Bacterial small subunit ribosomal RNA
Source: RNAcentral
CCUACGGGUGGCAGCAGUGAGGAAUAUUGGUCAAUGGCCGUAAGGCUGAACCAGCCAAGUCGCGUGAAGGAAGAAGGAUCUAUGGUUUGUAAACUUCUUUUAUAGGGGAAUAAAGGGAGCCACGUGUGGAUAUUUGCAUGUACCCUAUGAAUAAGAAUAGGCUAACUCCGUGCCAGCAGCCGCGGUAAUACGGAGGAUGCGAGCGUUAUCCGGAUUGAUUGGGUUGACAGGGUGCGUAGGUUGUUUUUUAAGUCAGCGGUGAAAGUUUGUGGCUCACCCAUAAAAUUGCCGUUGAAACUGGCAGCCUUGAGUGUGUUUGAGGUAGGCGGCAUGCGUGGUGUAGCGGU